GACGAACGCUGGCGGCGUGCCUAAUACAUGCAAGUAGAACGCUGGAGAGAGGAGCUUGCUCUUCUUGGAAGAGUUGCGAACGGGUGAGUAACGCGUAGGUAACCUGCCUUGUAGCGGGGGAUAACUAUUGGAAACGAUAGCUAAUACCGCAUAACAAUGGGUGACCCAUGUCAUUCAUUUGAAAGGGGCAACUGCUCCACUACAAGAUGGACCUGCGUUGUAUUAGCUAGUAGGUGAGGUAACGGCUCACCUAGGCGACGAUACAUAGCCGACCUGAGAGGGUGAUCGGCCACACUGGGACUGAGACACGGCCCAGACUCCUACGGGAGGCAGCAGUAGGGAAUCUUCGGCAAUGGGGGCAACCCUGACCGAGCAACGCCGCGUGAGUGAAGAAGGUUUUCGGAUCGUAAAGCUCUGUUGUAAGUCAAGAACGAGUGUGAGAGUGGAAAGUUCACACUGUGACGGUAGCUUACCAGAAAGGGACGGCUAACUACGUGCCAGCAGCCGCGGUAAUACGUAGGUCCCGAGCGUUGUCCGGAUUUAUUGGGCGUAAAGCGAGCGCAGGCGGUUUGAUAAGUCUGAAGUUAAAGGCUGUGGCUCAACCAUAGUUCGCUUUGGAAACUGUCAAACUUGAGUGCAGAAGGGGAGAGUGGAAUUCCAUGUGUAGCGGUGAAAUGCGUAGAUAUAUGGAGGAACACCGGUGGCGAAAGCGGCUCUCUGGUCUGUAACUGACGCUGAGGCUCGAAAGCGUGGGGAGCGAACAGG
Molecule: ribosomal RNA, 765 nt
Filed under: uncultured Streptococcus sp.
Lineage: Bacteria; Bacillati; Bacillota; Bacilli; Lactobacillales; Streptococcaceae
Description: bacterial SSU rRNA
Rfam family: Bacterial small subunit ribosomal RNA
Source: RNAcentral